RNAcentral lists this ribosomal RNA (254 nucleotides) under uncultured bacterium. RNAcentral describes it as "partial 16S ribosomal RNA". It matches the Rfam family "Bacterial small subunit ribosomal RNA", at positions 524 to 776 of the family's 1533-position model. The record is from RNAcentral.
UACGGGGGGAGCAAGCGUUGUUCGGAUUUACUGGGCGUAAAGGGCGCGUAGGCGGCCAACUAAGUCAGACGUGAAAUCCCUCGGCUUAACCGGGGAACUGCGUCUGAUACUGGAUGGCUUGAGUUUGGGAGAGGGAUGCGGAAUUCCAGGUGUAGCGGUGAAAUGCGUAGAUAUCUGGAGGAACACCGGUGGCGAAGGCGGCAUCCUGGACCAACACUGACGCUGAGUGAGCGAAAGCCAGGGGAGCAAACGGG